RNAcentral lists this ribosomal RNA (443 nucleotides) under uncultured bacterium. Its description in RNAcentral is "partial 16S ribosomal RNA". It matches the Rfam family "Bacterial small subunit ribosomal RNA", at positions 338 to 795 of the family's 1533-position model. The record is from RNAcentral.
CCUACGGGAGGCAGCAGUGGGGAAUAUUGGGCAAUGGAGGCAACUCUGACCCAGCAACGCCGCGUGAGUGAUGAAGGUCUUCGGAUUGUAAAACUCUUUAAGUGGGGACGAAGAAAGUGACUGUACCCACAGAAUAAGCCUCGGCUAACUACGUGCCAGCAGCCGCGGUAAUACGUAGGAGGCAAGCGUUAUCCGGAAUGACUGGGUGUAAAGGGAGCGUAGGCGGUAAGGCAAGUCUGAUGUGAAAGGCCAGGGCUCAACCCUGGAACUGCAUUGGAAACUGUUUAACUGGAGUGUCGGAGAGGCAAGUGGAAUUCCUAGUGUAGCGGUGAAAUGCGUAGAUAUUAGGAGGAACACCAGUGGCGAAGGCGGCUUGCUGGACGAUGACUGACGCUGAGGCUCGAAAGCGUGGGGAGCAAACAGGAUUAGAUACCCGAGUAGUC